RNAcentral lists this ribosomal RNA (445 nucleotides) under uncultured bacterium. Its description in RNAcentral is "bacterial SSU rRNA". It matches the Rfam family "Bacterial small subunit ribosomal RNA", at positions 335 to 797 of the family's 1533-position model. The record is from RNAcentral.
ACUCCUACGGGAGGCAGCAGUGGGGAAUCUUAGACAAUGGGGCAACCCUGAUCUAGCCAUGCCGCGUGAGUGAUGAAGGCCUUAGGGUUGUAAAGCUCUUUCAGCUGGGAAGAUAAUGACGGUACCAGCAGAAGAAGCCCCGGCUAACUCCGUGCCAGCAGCCGCGGUAAUACGGAGGGGCUAGCGUUGUUCGGAAUUACUGGGCGUAAAGCGCACGUAGGCGGACCAGAAAGUUGGGGGUGAAAUCCCGGGGCUCAACCCCGGAACUGCCUUCAAAACUAUUGGUCUGGAGUUCGAGAGAGGUGAGUGGAAUACCGAGUGUAGAGGUGAAAUUCGUAGAUAUUCGGUGGAACACCAGUGGCGAAGGCGGCUCACUGGCUCGAUACUGACGCUGAGGUGCGAAAGCGUGGGAGCAAACAGGAUUAGAUACCCUGGUAGGAUACCG